RNAcentral lists this ribosomal RNA (392 nucleotides) under uncultured fungus. RNAcentral describes it as "eukaryotic LSU rRNA". The stretch from base 1 to 125 matches the Rfam family "5.8S ribosomal RNA", at positions 30 to 154 of the family's 154-position model. The record is from RNAcentral. Lineage: Eukaryota; Fungi.
GCAUCGAUGAAGAACGCAGCCAGUUGCGAUAAGUAGUGUGAAUUGCAGAACUCAGUGAAUCAUCGAAUCUUUGAACGCAAAUUGCGCUCUCUGGAUAUCCAGGGAGCAUGCCUGUCUGAGCGUCGUUUAAUAAUCUACACACUUCGGUGUGGGUAGGGAUUUUAGGUGGCUCACUUCACUGUGGGUUAUCUAUAUCUCGAUGUAUCUGAACCUUGCAUUACUUUGAUUGUAUUGCUUGGAAGGCUCAACUUGCUUCUGUCCUUCUAAAGUGUGUACUAUCAUAACGGUGUAGGUGUUCUUCGAAUGUUCCUUCGGGGAUGUUCACUUCUUAUUUUUGACCUCAGAUCAGACAAGACUACCCGCUGAACUUAAGCAUAUCAAUAAGCGGAGGA